CACGCAGGCGGUCCUGUUCCAAGUCGGAUGUGAAAUCCCCCGGGCUCCAACCUGGGAACUGCAUUUCGAAACUGGCAGGCUAGAGUCUUGUAGAGGGGGGUAGAAUUUCCAGGUGUAGCGGUGAAAUGCGUAGAGAUCUGGAGGAAUACCGGUGGCGAAGGCGGCCCCCUGGACAAAGACUGACGCUCAGGUGCGAAAGCGUGGGGAGCAAACAGGAUUAGAUACCCUGGUAGUCCACGCCGUAAACGAUGUCGACUUGGAGGUUGUUCCCUUGAGGAGUGGCUUCCGGAGCUAACGCGUUAAGUCGACCGCCUGGGGAGUACGGCCGCAAGGUUAAAACUCA
This 343-nucleotide ribosomal RNA is filed under the name bacterium. Its description in RNAcentral is "bacterial SSU rRNA". It matches the Rfam family "Bacterial small subunit ribosomal RNA", at positions 568 to 903 of the family's 1533-position model. The record is from RNAcentral.